This 214-nucleotide ribosomal RNA is filed under the name uncultured bacterium. RNAcentral's name for it is "partial 16S ribosomal RNA". It matches the Rfam family "Bacterial small subunit ribosomal RNA", at positions 118 to 334 of the family's 1533-position model. The record is from RNAcentral.
UCGGAACGUGCCCUGGAGUGGGGGAUAACGCAGCGAAAGUUGCGCUAAUACCGCAUACGAUCUAAGGAUGAAAUGGGGGAUUCGCAAGAACCUCAUGCUCCUGGAGCGGCCGAUAUCUGAUUAGCUAGUUGGUGGGGUAAAGGCCUACCAAGGCAUCGAUCAGUAGCUGGUCUGAGAGGACGACCAGCCACACUGGAACUGAGACACGGUCCAG